RNAcentral lists this long non-coding RNA (1049 nucleotides) under Linum usitatissimum (flax). RNAcentral describes it as "long non-coding RNA (LUSI_LNC004837)". The record is from RNAcentral. Lineage: Eukaryota; Viridiplantae; Streptophyta; Magnoliopsida; Malpighiales; Linaceae.
UUAAUAUGUAAUUUAAUUGAAUAUAGUUGAGUUCAGAUCCAAUUAAAUGGAUAGAACAAAAUUUAAUUAAAAGGGGAAAAAUAGUAAAUUAUGUAUUGGUUUUUAUAUAGUUUUGAUGUAUCCACAUAGAAUUACAUCUCAAAAUAGUAAAUACAACAUUCUUGUCUUAUAUGUAUGAGCAUGCAGGGAUGGAGGACUGAGCAAUUUUUCAGCCGUGAUAAUGGAAACCAUUUAAGAAAGCUGGACAUGGGAAUCAUAACCAGCACCAGGCUUCCAUGAACUCGGUAAGGCCUUGUUUGCUUCUAUCAAUUUCUCCUCUCCAUUUCCAUUGCGUACUUUGACCCUAAGCUUAAGAGCACCAGUUGGUGGAACAGGCAAGUCCCAAACCGCACCCCACGCCUUGUUCAUACUUAUCCAUUUAUCUCCACCUUCCUGAAGUACACAACCCAAAUGUUAUAUUACCAGAUCUGCUCAUUUUAGGAAGAAAUGGAAUCAAUAAAGAGAGUUAAACCUUAAUUGAAAUCAAAUGCAUACCGGCUGUAAUUCGACACCAUGUAUAUCUUGUUCCCCAUUGUAGAACAUAGGAACUAUGGCCAAGUAGUGAGGGAACCUGCUAUGCUCUACCACCUUGAAGAUUAGGUUGUAACCAGGGAACCGGCAUGGUGUACGUUGGUAAUCCACGUCCACAACCCCUAAUAAGUAGAGCUCGGUGGUCUUACUCGGGUAAGCCAUGCUGCCGUAAGCGUGUGGGCUUAGGACGAAAUGAGCAUCGUCUGCUGCAGCGUUAUCAGUCACUACUACUGUUAUCCCUUCCUGAUUGCAUAGAUCUGCAGCUUUACACCUCACCUGAUGAGAAAUUGUAUGAUCAUUUAAUCUUAUCGUACUCUUUAUGAUUUUAUCAGGUUUGGAAAUUUGCAAAAGUCUUUACCUGGUAGCAAGCACCGCAGCCAGUUCCAUUGUUCCAGAGUCCAGAAACGCCGCCUACUAGAGCAUUGUUGAUGGUUCUUCCAUGGAUGCCAUAACCACAAGCUCCACCUACGCAAACCAAU